Molecule: transfer RNA, 52 nt
Filed under: Tayloria acuminata
Lineage: Eukaryota; Viridiplantae; Streptophyta; Bryopsida; Splachnales; Splachnaceae
Description: partial tRNA-Leu
Source: RNAcentral
ACUUAUGUUAGGAUAAUUCAAUAAAAAAAAGCCGGAAUAGCUCAGUCGGUAG